CACACCGUAAACGAUGGAUACUAGGUAUCGGCUGGAUGGCUGUCGGUGCCGAAGUUAACGCAUUAAGUAUCCCACCUGGGGAGUACGACCGCAAGGUUAAAACUCAAAGGAAUUGACGGGGGCCCGCACAAGCAGUGGAGUAUGUGGUUUAAUUCGACGCAACGCGAAGAACCUUACCAGGGCUUGACAUGUACAUGACCGGUAUAGAGAUAUACCCUUUUCUUCGGAAACAUGUAUACAGGUGG
RNAcentral lists this ribosomal RNA (245 nucleotides) under uncultured Eubacteriales bacterium. RNAcentral describes it as "uncultured Clostridiales bacterium partial 16S ribosomal RNA". It matches the Rfam family "Bacterial small subunit ribosomal RNA", at positions 796 to 1041 of the family's 1533-position model. The record is from RNAcentral. Lineage: Bacteria; Bacillati; Bacillota; Clostridia; Eubacteriales.